This 369-nucleotide long non-coding RNA is filed under the name Lathyrus oleraceus (garden pea). RNAcentral's name for it is "Pisum sativum (pea) long non-coding RNA (PSAT_LNC040957)". The record is from RNAcentral. Lineage: Eukaryota; Viridiplantae; Streptophyta; Magnoliopsida; Fabales; Fabaceae.
GUGAACGAGAUGGCAAUAUCAAAUCAUGCAAAGGAGAAAUGUUAAAUACCAAAUCGGAGCUAGUCCGACGUUUCAACUCCGGCAAGGUGAGGUAAAUGAUCCUUAGGUCCUUCAAGGUUCUUUCUUCCUCUCGAACUUUCCGCCUUCUUCGCUUCCUCUUUAACGAUUUGGGUUCGUUUCGGUUUUGACAGGGGGCUUAGCUCGAGCUUGUUGAGCUUCGGUGUGAAAAUCUCAACAAGUUCAAAACGGAGCUUUUAACUAGGGUUUCGGAAUGAUUUCUCUAGAGUAACGGCGCAGAAAUUCGGAUCCCUACUUCAUCCCUGGAGGUCCUUAUUUAUAGCAUUUUUGAUGUACGAGGUUUUGAAUUCC